This 429-nucleotide ribosomal RNA is filed under the name Acidobacteriota bacterium. Its description in RNAcentral is "Acidobacteria bacterium partial 16S ribosomal RNA". It matches the Rfam family "Bacterial small subunit ribosomal RNA", at positions 355 to 776 of the family's 1533-position model. The record is from RNAcentral. Lineage: Bacteria; Pseudomonadati; Acidobacteriota.
UGGGGAAUUUUGGACAAUGGGGGAAACCCUGAUCCAGCCAUCCCGCGUGUGCGAUGAAGGCCUUCGGGUUGUAAAGCACUUUUGGCAGGAAAGAAACGUCAUGGGUUAAUACCCCGUGAAACUGACGGUACCUGCAGAAUAAGCACCGGCUAACUACGUGCCAGCAGCCGCGGUAAUACGUAGGGUGCAAGCGUUAAUCGGAAUUACUGGGCGUAAAGCGUGCGCAGGCGGUUCGGAAAGAAAGAUGUGAAAUCCCAGAGCUCAACUUUGGAACUGCAUUUUUAACUACCGGGCUAGAGUGUGUCAGAGUGAGGUUGCAUUCCGCGUGUAGCAGUGAAAUGCGUAGAUAUGCGGAGGAACACCGAUGGCGAAGGCAGCCUCCUGGGAUAACACUGACGCUCAUGCACGAAAGCGUGGGGAGCAAACAGG